CGGGUGAGUAACGCGUGGAUAACCUGCCUCACACUGGGGGAUAACAGUUAGAAAUGACUGCUAAUACCGCAUGAGCGCACAGUACCGCAUGGUACGGUGUGAAAAAACUCCGGUGGUGUGAGAUGGAUCCGCGUCUGAUUAGCCAGUUGGCGGGGUAACGGCCCACCAAAGCGACGAUCAGUAGCCGACCUGAGAGGGUGACCGGCCACAUUGGGACUGAGACACGGCCCAA
RNAcentral lists this ribosomal RNA (232 nucleotides) under uncultured bacterium. RNAcentral describes it as "partial 16S ribosomal RNA". It matches the Rfam family "Bacterial small subunit ribosomal RNA", at positions 103 to 334 of the family's 1533-position model. The record is from RNAcentral.